GGCCGGAAGUGACGGGGCCGGGCCGGGCCGAUUCACCUGCUGGGCGGUGCGCGGGGCGCAGCCCGGGCACGGAGCCGCCGCCGCUGGGUGCCCGCCGCGCCAUGGAGCCGCCGCUGCCGCUGCUCGGCGUGUCCCUCGUGCUGCUCUGCUCCGCAGGUCUGACAAGAAGCCUAACUAUAACUUCAGUUGACCCAUCAAUGUUUGAAAAAGCACAAGGAGAGAAAGUUACAUUGCCAUGUACUUUUGAACUCUCGGAAGAAGAUGAAGGACCACUAGAUAUUGAGUGGGUAUUGAUACCAGCAGACAACCAAAAGAAGGAACAAAUAAUAAUUAUGUAUGCUGUAGACAGGGUUUAUAAUCAUUAUUAUGCUGGUUUGACUGGGCGAAUGCAGUUUACUAAUCUUGAUCCCAGAUCUGGUGAUGGUUCAUUGGAUAUUCUGAAUUUAAAGGCAUCAGACACUGGCACAUAUCAGUGCAAAGUGAAGAAGGCUCCUGGAGUUCAAAGCAAAAAAAUACAGUUGACUGUACUUGUAAAGCCAGCACGGACUAAAUGUUCCAUUGAAGGAUCACAGGAGAUUGGAAAAGACGUUACCUUGAAAUGUGUGUCACAAGAAGGAUCCCCACUUUUGUCUUACGACUGGAAAAGAGUAUCUGGCACGCAGAAUCUUCCUGCCACUUCCGUGCUGAAUAAAAAUACAGGGGAACUUCUUCUGAAAAACGCCUCUCGAGAGUAUUCUGGUAGAUACAACUGUGUGGCCACAAACAGAGUUGGCACGGAUGAAUGUUCUGUUGAGCUGAAUGUCACCCCUCCCGUAAAUACAGCUGGUAUAAUUACUGGAGCUAUUAUAGGAACUCUGCUGGGUCUCUCUGUACUGUGUUCUAUCAUCUUCUGUUUUUGUAAGAAGCACAGAGAGAAGAAAUACGAGAAAGAAGUACAUCAUGAUAUCAGAGAAGAUGUUCCACCUCCAAAGAGUCGCAGUUCUACAGCUCGCAGCUACAUCGGCAGCAAUCGUUCUUCCCUGGGCUCAAUGUCUCCCUCCAACAUGGAAGGAUUUACCAAAACUCCAUAUAGCCAAGUCCCAAGUGAAGACUUUGAACGUGCUCCUACUCAAAACCCAGCCUUUGCACCUUCAAAGGUAGCUGCACCUAAUUUAAGUAGAAUGGGAGCUGUUCCUGUGAUGAUUCCAGCACAAAGCAAAGAUGGGUCGAUAGUAUAAAAUAUUAUUAAUUUAAAAGCUGUUUUUUUAAAGUGUUCAUUGUAAGUAUUAGAGAAAAAUACUGUGUUCCAUCCCUCAUUUAAACACUGGCAUGAAAUUUUCCUUGAAGAGAAUAUACAAAUGAGUUUGAAAAGCCACCAAUUCUCAUGUUUAAUUUUAAACUUAUUUGCAUAUGAUAGUUGAACUAUUUGCUAAAAACGUUGAACUUCAUAAAUAAAUAUCGGACACUGAAGGUAUUUUGACCUCUGGUAGGUUGCUGAGGAGGUUCUGACACUGUCAGCUAAUGUACAGUUCUGAAUGUGUAACAGUGAGACACAGGUGAGAAGUAACAAAAGCAUUUCAUGUGUAGACCAUGAAGUUUCUCAGAGUUCCUGAGAUUUUAUUCUCAGUUGUGGAAUAACAAAAAUAUUUUAACUUGGCCACUGUCUGGUAUAGUUGCAGGGGGCUGAAAAUACCAAGGAUGACUUUGAAUUCUGUUCAAAUUGAGUAUUUAUGUGGUUCUUUAACCUGGUGAUGUUUGUUUGGAGUACUUGAGCUCUUAUUUCAGGGGCAGACAGUCAUUUGAUUGGUUCAAUUUAUUUAAUUAAUCUGUUCUGAAUUUAAAAGGGCAAUGAGUGGAAGUGUGACAGAAAACCUUGCAAGUUCUUUGAAACACAAAUUUUUUUACAAUAACUAGUUCUGGUCCUGUCAGAUAACUUAAUACUUAUGUUAUCUGAUGCAAGAGGUCCUAUCAGAUUGUUGAUAGAAGUAUCUAAGCUCUAAAACCUACAGACCAACUCUUACUGUCACAGUAAGAAUGAGUUAAUGCAUCUUUACACAGGUCUUGAAGUUAGUUGUACCUUGCAUUUUCCAAUGCCUGGUUAGAUACUGAGGCAGUGCUCUUAGUUUUUUCCCAAAGCAAUUUCCUAGAAGCUCUGUGGGGAUUUGAUGAGACCUCUUAAGUAACUGGUAUUUGAUGUCUGUCCUCUUGCUCUAACCACAGUGGAAGCAACUUUUCUCAUAUGCCCCUAAGCAGUAGUCAGUCCUUGUUCAAGAUGUUAAUGUCUGGCUGUAUGAAUCUGCAAGGAGAGAAAGCUCAUUUUUUCUUGCCUCUUUAACAACCCUAAAUAUUCUGAACCAAUGUUCAGACUGUGGAGGGCAAGCAUUUCAUGUAACUGAGAGAAAACAAUUACCCAGAAUUGUUGAUACAAAUCUCAUGUUGCAAGAUUGAAAACACUUCUUCCCAAUUUUGCAAACUUAAAGCAAUACAGGAGAAACACAACAAUUCCUUGUCUUACUUUCACAUGUAUUUAAGGACUUCUGGUAGCUUCUGAUGACUGUUAUAUACCUGCAAAAGCUCAAUUUAAAACUCUGUACAGUUUGAAUCUGUGAAUUCUUUCUUCCUUCCUGUUUUCUACCUUCUUUGUCUUGUGCUGGGGAGCAGGUCGGGGAGAGUUUGUAGCUUACUCUAGCUAGAGAUGUUGAACUGCAAGGUAUUUUGGAAAACUAAAUUCAUUACAGUAUGUGCACUGAUGUUGAUGAAGGAGAUAUCUGAAUAGCCUGUUGAAAGAUGUUAGGAUUAUUUGUGUGUAGCAACAGUGAGAGAAAACAACAUUAACCCAGACCUCUAAGUUUAUUAUCUGCUUAUCUGUAGCUGCCUAUACAUACAUCUGUGAUGAAUUCUUUGGCUUACUACUAAAUGUUUGUCCUAUCUGUAAAUAGGUGCACAAUUUUUGGCUGGCACUAUUAAUGUAAAGAAAUUCCCCUGCCCAUGGCAGUGGUUGGUACAAGGUCAUCUUUAAGCUCCUUAUAACCCAAACAAUUUCAUGAUUUUAACAUGCCCUUCAUACUGAAUUUAGAAACUUGAAUGGCUAUUAAGUAAUAUAGAGUUAGUUUUACACAUUUGGAACUUUUUUAGAUUGUAAACUGAUACUGUUAGAGAUCAGAUUUUUUAUCUUUCAUGUGUGCCUUGUCAAUAAAAUUUGCCUGAUUGUAACUUCAGUUUUUAUUAAAUUUCUGGUGCCUAAACAUACUGUAUGAACAGGUGCUUAGAUGAUGGUACAGUUCUUAAAACAAAAACUUGUGAUCUGAUUUCUUGAUUCUUAUGUACUAUUUAUACCUCUUCAUGCCUAUUUUUGGAUGUGAACUUCAGUGUCUCUCUCUCUGUAUUGUUCUGUAUUUCAAAAUGUCACUUAACUCCUUCAAUUGCUAAUUAUGAUUUGAGUGUUUGUGUUCCUGUGUAAGCUCUUCAGUUGUUGUACCAAUGAGAGAGAUGAUUGAAAUGCAUUUAUGUGGUGAAUAAUAGGCUUAGUAAGUGUGCCAAACAUAGCUUCUGAAGAACUAUAGAUGAGGAGACAUGUUUUUGCAUCCAAUUAUUGUGAUAGAAGAGACUUCCAAGAUGUUAAUCAUACACUGAUUGUUUACCUUGAAACUAAGGCCUUUCUUAAUGAAAAGGGUGUAGUUACUACAAAUACAAGUUGAGUGCAAGACUAAAGUGAAUCACAGACUGAGAGAGAGCUAUAAACCUAAGGAACCAGGCAGCAAACCUACUAAAUUUGGUUCUAAGCCUUCUGUGGACCUAUGUGUUUUUUGGUGGUUUGAGGGAUUUUUUAAAUUAAUUUUUGGUUUGGUUUGGUCUUGGUUUGGC
Molecule: RNA transcript, 3843 nt
Organism: Passer montanus (Eurasian tree sparrow)
Lineage: Eukaryota; Metazoa; Chordata; Aves; Passeriformes; Passeridae
Gene: CXADR
Gene name: CXADR Ig-like cell adhesion molecule
Exons: 8
Source: RefSeq, a predicted model, not a curated record